Molecule: ribosomal RNA, 463 nt
Filed under: uncultured bacterium
Lineage: Bacteria
Description: partial 16S ribosomal RNA
Rfam family: Bacterial small subunit ribosomal RNA
Source: RNAcentral
GACGAACGCUGGCGGCGUGCUUAACACAUGCAAGUCGAACGGAGAACCGCGGCGGAGGGGAUCAGGGGCGAACGGGUGGGUAAGACGGUGGCAACCUGCCCCCGUCUCUGGGAUAACUCCAAGAAAUUGGGACUAAUACGGUAUGUUCAGCUCUUCCCUCAAGGGGGGUGGUGGAAAGGUGUUCCGGCUGGGGAUGGGCCCGCGGCCUAUCAGCUUGUUGGUGGGGGAGUGGCCUACCAAGGCGGGGGCGGGUAGGCGGCCUGGGAGGGUGACCGGCCACACUGGGACUGAGACACGGCCCAGACUCCUACGGGCGGCAGCAGUGGGGAAUCUUGCGCAAUGGGCGGACGCCUGACGCAGCGACGCCGCGUGGGGAAUGAUGGCCUUCGGGUUGUAAACCUCUUUCUGCAGGGACGUAGCGCACUUGACGGUACCUGCACAAGAAGCCCCGGCUAACUACGUG